GCCUAAGGUUAGGAACAAACUGAACAUUGACGGAUCCAAUUAUCCAAGCCAUAAUCCGAGAGUCCUUGAUUUUCUAAGCGAGGUACUUCUCUUUAUCUUUCUCUUGAUCAGGAGGUGGGAGACUUCCAUCAAUAUGUCCCCAUAGAUCCCCUUUCCCUUCAACCAACAAUUGAAAGUGAAAUGCCCAUGAAGUGUAGUUCUUGCCGUUAGAGCGAAUGCACAUGGAAUCAAUUUUCUCAGUUGACAUGACGAAUAAUUUUUUUUAACUCUAUCAAAUAAAUUAAUCACGACUUAACAAAAUCAAUUCUCCUCAAAUAACUCGGCCCAAUCAACAACAGCCCAAAAGAAACUAAAUAAACUCAAUCAACCCAAGCCCAAUAGCUCAAGCCCAACACAGUAUACUGGAAGGAAAAAAAUCAAAACAACGAACCACUGGAAUUGAAGCACAACUCAUGACGCGAGCUUACCCACUGGAGAAGACGAGCCCCGAUCACACACCGACGAAAAUGGAGAAAAUCUGGUCACACCCAUAGAAGCGGUAAAAUUGAUUGUUCCGGCUAGUACCGGACUCAAGACCUACC
Molecule: long non-coding RNA, 581 nt
Filed under: Olea europaea subsp. europaea
Lineage: Eukaryota; Viridiplantae; Streptophyta; Magnoliopsida; Lamiales; Oleaceae
Source: RNAcentral